RNAcentral lists this transfer RNA (87 nucleotides) under Spirochaetaceae bacterium. Its description in RNAcentral is "tRNA-Ser". It matches the Rfam family "tRNA". Rfam says of the family: Transfer RNA (tRNA) molecules are approximately 80 nucleotides in length. Their secondary structure includes four short double-helical elements and three loops (D, anti-codon, and T loops). Further hydrogen bonds mediate the characteristic L-shaped molecular structure. tRNAs have two regions of fundamental functional importance: the anti-codon, which is responsible for specific mRNA codon recognition, and the 3' end, to which the tRNAs corresponding amino acid is attached (by aminoacyl-tRNA synthetases). tRNAs cope with the degeneracy of the genetic code in two manners: having more than one tRNA (with a specific anti-codon) for a particular amino acid; and 'wobble' base-pairing, i.e. permitting non-standard base-pairing at the 3rd anti-codon position. Lineage: Bacteria; Pseudomonadati; Spirochaetota; Spirochaetia; Spirochaetales; Spirochaetaceae. The record is from RNAcentral.
GGAGAGAUGGCCGAGUGGCUUAAGGCGCACGCUUGGAAAGCGUGUGUGCGUUGACGCGUACCGAGGGUUCGAAUCCCUCUCUCUCCG